UACAGAGGGUGCAAGCGUUAAUCGGAUUUACUGGCGUAAAGCGCGCGUAGGCGGUUAAUUAAGUCAAAUGUGAAAUCCCCGAGCUUAACUUGGGAAUUGCAUUCGAUAACUGGUUAGCUAGAGUGUGGGAGAGGAUGGUAGAAUUCAGGUGUAGCGGUGAAAUGCGUAGAGAUCGGAAGGAAUACCGAUGGCGAAGGCAGCCAUCUGGCCUAACACUGACGCUG
Molecule: ribosomal RNA, 224 nt
Filed under: uncultured bacterium
Lineage: Bacteria
Description: partial 16S ribosomal RNA
Rfam family: Bacterial small subunit ribosomal RNA
Source: RNAcentral